AUGCCUUUGGAAAACUAUACUUCUUUAUUUUUUUAUAUUACUGAUUUAAUUUAUUUCCUAAGUAAUGAUUACUUCUUUUACUCGCCACAUUUUGUACUUGAAUCGCGUUGGUCUUGUGAUAUGAAAGUGAAAGUAAUCAGUAGGUGUUUUAGUUUUUGUUGUAUACAUUGGAUGUGUUUUCUUGAACACCAUGUUCAUAAAAAUUGUCCAUUUGUUGUUUAUAUAAUUGUAUGUCUUAUUAAAUCCAUUAUCAUAAUAUAUCCUUUUGCAUUCUAAUUUUUUUAAUCUACACUUGAAAAUUAAAAUAGUGGUUGCUUGCUGGCACAAAAAGCACUUUGCUUGGUGGUCCUAUGCUUAUUUUUUUCACUGCCGAUAAUCUAAACAUAUUAACCAUUAAUGUCAUAUAAGUUGUUUCCUUUAUGUGUAAGAGAUAGCUUUCAUUCUCCUAUGUAGUCAGUUCCUCAACUCCGAUAUAUCUAUUGAUAUUUUAAUGUCCAACUAUCAGGAGGGUGAAGCAGCUGCUGCUGAAGAAACCAAGAAAAGUAACCAUGUCCAGAGAAAAAUUGAGAAGCGCCAGACAGAUCGUAACCUUGAUUCCCACAUUGAAGAGCAGUUUGGUGGUGGUCGAUUGCUUGCCGCUAUUUCCUCUCGCCCUGGUCAAUGUGGCAGGGCUGAUGGGUAUGCUGAAACUUUAUAUAUGUGAGAUUACCUGUUUGAGCCAGCAUCAUUUCUGUUUACCGAUCUAUUUUUUCAUGAAUUUUGUAGGUACAUUUUGGAAGGUAAGGAACUGGAGUUUUACCUGAAGAAACUCCAGAAGAAGAAGGGAAAGGGUGCUGCCUAAUUUUAUUGUUUCCCAUAUUUUUACAUGGCUUUAGUUGUUUUUGUUUGAGUUUGUUAAACAUUGAAAGCAAUUUUAGCUUUGAAUGACAUUGUUGGUCUACUACUGUAGGAUAAUGCCCUUCUUGAACGUGUUAUCAGUUUUAUGCAAUUGUCAUUAAAUUUUGUUUUUCAUCAUGUUACUCAUAUAUACAUUUCUCAUCAUUUUAAUGCUUUGUUGCUUUGAAAUUAUAGAUUAUGUAAAAGAUAAACCUGUCUAGUUUAAGUAAAAUUUCAAAAUCUUACAUAAAAGGUAUGCUUUCAAAAUCAUAGUGAUAAAUCUUACAUAAGCUUUGUACUUAUUUAAGUUUCGUUAAGAUUGAUUCUAGUUGAAAAUUAUUGCAGACACUGUAUAUAUGUUUGUUCUAUUUAUUGUCUGUGUAUAUGUAGGCAAUGAGGCAUUCGAUCUUAAUCUUUGUAAGGGUUAUGCAACUAUUUUUCUGAUUAUGAUUGAUUUUUUUGUUCACAAAAAUAAUAGUUUGUCCUCUUUUGUGGCCCAAAUAAUAAAGGAUUGCCAUAUAACUCUAGCUCCUUCUCUGAACUUUGUGUAAUAGUUGUCAAAUUCUUAAAUUCACUAUUAAUGAAGUAAUAAAAUAUCACUACCAAGAAAAGUUUUUUGUAUAACUAAAUAUAUUUUCUUUUUUAGAGUAUGCGAUUGCUCUUUCUGACAUUUAUAUGAAUCUAACUUUUAAUUUUUUGAUUUAUCGGAAUCUGAUAAUAAUAUAAAAUUUUAUUCAAAUUAGCAUUAUCCACACACAUUUUCAUUCAUCUAUACAGCUUUUUUAAUCAUUUGAUUAUAACUUAACCCACCUCGUUUUAUGUGAUAUCUCUGUAGCAAUUUUCUACCAAAAAAUACACAUGCUUGUAUAGUUACUGUAGUUAAAUCUAUUUGCUCACAAAUUUAAGCUAAAGAUUGAGUUUUUAAUAUGCUUUUUUUUGCUUAACUUAUCCUAAAGGCAAUGUUUCAGGAACCAAAAUAAGUGAUAUAUAUAUAAUAUAUUAAUGAUCAAUAUUUUCACCUUCCAAUGUUGAUACAUUUUAGGUUUCUUUUUAAAAGUUCAAGCCCAAUUUCAGUUUGGCCUUUAAUACUGAGUUUAUUUACACGUAGACUAUUUAUUGAAUUAUCUAGUGAAACCAUAAAUAAGUUAUGGUUUCAAAUUAAUUGCAGUCCAAGUUUCCAACCUACAUAUACAUCUUGCAUAUUAUAAAAUUGUAAAAUUUAUGCACCAACUUGCACUACUACAAGAUGCUAGAGUUAUAUUUACACACCUUGCUGAAAUUCAAAUUCGACCAAGUUGUGCAUUAUUUCUCCCAAUUUAACCACAUCCAUACGUUUUCUUGCGAGUGUGUUAUAUUAUAAUAUUUAUCUAAGUUAUUUUUAUAAACAAUAAUUUAUUUAAAAAAAUAUAUUUUGAAUGCCAAAGCUUACACGUAUUAGCCUAUUUUUUUAAAAAAAUAAAUAAGAAAACUUAGACUUUAAAUGCUAAAAUGUUGAAGAAAUAUUUUAGUUUAUGUUGCAUAUAUAUUGUUUAUUCUAAGUGUAGAUAUUGUGUAUUCAUUUUACUUUUGGUAUGUCCAUUUUUUAUGUUAGUAUAUGUUGGGUAUUUUAAGUGGAGACAAAGAAGUCUUAUAUUUGUAAAAAUUGAAAAAAAACCUUAAAUUGUAAGAAGUUAGCAUGAACUAUUUUUUUCUUCAUAACUAUUCCUCUGAUAAAAUGAGUUCAUACACAAAGAUAAUAUCUAAUUAAUAGCAAUAUAAUUUUUUAUCAUACAUUUUAUUUUAAACUGGAACGUUAGAUCACUAUUAUUUUAUUUUUCAUAUAUAUAUCAAUAUUAAUGUGAUAACCACUUUUAACUCUUAAAUUUAAUUCUUAAUUAAUUAUAUAUUUUGAUGAUAUUUCCUCCGCAUACUAAUGCCGACUACCAUACAUAAUUGUAUUGUUAUUAUUGUCAGUUUGAUCGUAGUCAUUUUCUUGUUGGCCUACUAAAAAUUUAACAAUAUAUUUAUACAAAAUCAAUAAAAAUGUGAUAACCCAUAUAAAUAUCUGAAACAGUACAUAACAUCCUAUGUGAUAUUUAUUGAAAAGUUGAGCAAACGAGGAGAAAUGAAUAAAGCAAUGAUGUUAAUAUUAAAUAUAGCAAAGGAUGAAGAACUUAGUAUUCCUUGGUGAUCUUGACAUUGAAAAAGUUUUAAUCAUUAUAUUUGGUAAAGAUUAAGUAACUAAUUGCAACUCACUCAAUUUUGAAUAAUUGAAUUUGUGGUUUGUCAACUACAACUUAACUUUAUUCCAAACUUUAAGCAGAUAACAAUUACAUUCUCCUCCAUCCAUACAUUAAGUUAUAUAUUACUUUUAGAAAAAGAUAUAUGUAUAUAAAUAAUGUAAGAGAUUUUUAUUGUGUCAUGUAUGUUUAAAUUUAAUCAUAAUUAAUUUUUAAAUAUAAAUAAUACAAAUAAAUAAUGAGAGAUAAAUUAAUUAUGUAUAAAUCUUUACAAUAAGAUAAUAUAUAUAUUACACUCAUUACUUAUUAAUCAUAUCAAAAUUUGUGGUCAUAUUCUCUCUCCUCUGUUUGUGUCGCAAUUACUUGGUGUAAUUUGAAUGAAUAGAAAUAAGAAAAAACAGAGUUUUUGAGGACAAAUGAUCUGGAUUCAAAAUGAAUAUAUAUAUAUAUAUAUAUCACAAUUUGUAAUUUAACAGUUGUUGCUAUCUUUUUUCUCUUGUUAUCCCCUUUUACUUCAACCAUUUUUAUAGGAAAUAAUACUUUACACACCUAAGGUAGGGAUUAAAAACUUAAUACAGAUAAUCAAAAGUAUUUUGUAACAUUAAGCAUAUUCUUGAUUAAUUUGUGUUGAAUGAAAAUUCUCAAUUCUUAGCCUUUACUUCCAAACAAGCAUGCAUCUUGCUUAGUACAUAUCUGUUGUUUCAUGUUUUGUAUCACUUCAUGUGUUAUGAGCUUGUAGAUUAGUGAACAAGCAUCAAUAAGAUCUAGGUUUAGUUAUUUUAUUGCUGACAAGAGAGUUAAGUGCAUUCAAAAUUCAUAGAAGUAUGAUAUAAAAUUGAGACAUUCUUAAUAUUCAAGUUGAUUACAUUCCAUUUAGAAUUGCAUUUGUUGUUUAUCGUCUCUCGUGAUGAGAAUGAUAACUUAUCCUUUCUCAUGCUUUCACUUCUAUUUUUUAUUUUUAUUUUUGAGAAUGAUAUCUAAUGCAUUAAAAGAGAGGUACAAUUUUGGGGAGGAUAAGUUAUGCUCUGUGUAAAAGUCAAUUUUAAUGUAAACUUGGGAGCUUCUAGGACAAUAUCGACAAAGGUAUUUAAUCUCUCGACAAACGAACUGUUAAGCUGAAUAAUUGUCUUUGCCUUAUGAGUUGUUAUCCUUCUUUUGUUAAAUGCUGCUAAACUUUCUCUAUGAUUUGUACCUUUGUUCAGAGAUUUUAGUUUUAACACUAGUGCAUCUAUUAUGUAUAAACUGAUGUAUUUUCUUCAGUGAUAUUUUAGUAUAGCCGAUUCUUGUUUAAGCUAAGGUGUUUUUCUUGAUGUUAUUAUAGGUAUGAGCUCGGUCGUCAGCCAGCAAACACCAAGUUAUCAAGCAACAAAACAGUGAGGAGGAUUCGUGUUAGGGGUGGAAAUGUCAAGUGGAGGGCAUUAAGAUUGGACACUGGAAACUUUUCAUGGGGUAGUGAAGCUGUGGCUCGCAAGACCCGUCUUCUUGAUGUUGUUUACAAUGCCUCCAACAAUGAGCUGGUCCGAACUCAGACCCUGGUCAAGGGAGCAAUUGUUCAGGUUGAUGCUGCUCCAUUUAAGCAAUGGUACCUUCAGCACUAUGGUGUUGAAGUUGGUAGGAAAAAGAAAACAGCAUCCAAGAAGGAUACUGCAGAGGUGAUGCCUUUGGAAAACUAUACUUCUUUAUUUUUUUAUAUUACUGAUUUAAUUUAUUUCCUAAGUAAUGAUUACUUCUUUUACUCGCCACAUUUUGUACUUGAAUCGCGUUGGUCUUGUGAUAUGAAAGUGAAAGUAAUCAGUAGGUGUUUUAGUUUUUGUUGUAUACAUUGGAUGUGUUUUCUUGAACACCAUGUUCAUAAAAAUUGUCCAUUUGUUGUUUAUAUAAUUGUAUGUCUUAUUAAAUCCAUUAUCAUAAUAUAUCCUUUUGCAUUCUAAUUUUUUUAAUCUACACUUGAAAAUUAAAAUAGUGGUUGCUUGCUGGCACAAAAAGCACUUUGCUUGGUGGUCCUAUGCUUAUUUUUUUCACUGCCGAUAAUCUAAACAUAUUAACCAUUAAUGUCAUAUAAGUUGUUUCCUUUAUGUGUAAGAGAUAGCUUUCAUUCUCCUAUGUAGUCAGUUCCUCAACUCCGAUAUAUCUAUUGAUAUUUUAAUGUCCAACUAUCAGGAGGGUGAAGCAGCUGCUGCUGAAGAAACCAAGAAAAGUAACCAUGUCCAGAGAAAAAUUGAGAAGCGCCAGACAGAUCGUAACCUUGAUUCCCACAUUGAAGAGCAGUUUGGUGGUGGUCGAUUGCUUGCCGCUAUUUCCUCUCGCCCUGGUCAAUGUGGCAGGGCUGAUGGGUAUGCUGAAACUUUAUAUAUGUGAGAUUACCUGUUUGAGCCAGCAUCAUUUCUGUUUACCGAUCUAUUUUUUCAUGAAUUUUGUAGGUACAUUUUGGAAGGUAAGGAACUGGAGUUUUACCUGAAGAAACUCCAGAAGAAGAAGGGAAAGGGUGCUGCCUAAUUUUAUUGUUUCCCAUAUUUUUACAUGGCUUUAGUUGUUUUUGUUUGAGUUUGUUAAA
Molecule: long non-coding RNA, 5649 nt
Filed under: Lupinus angustifolius (narrow-leaved blue lupine)
Lineage: Eukaryota; Viridiplantae; Streptophyta; Magnoliopsida; Fabales; Fabaceae
Description: long non-coding RNA (LANG_LNC001928)
Source: RNAcentral